Molecule: ribosomal RNA, 254 nt
Filed under: uncultured bacterium
Lineage: Bacteria
Description: partial 16S ribosomal RNA
Rfam family: Bacterial small subunit ribosomal RNA
Source: RNAcentral
UACGUAGGGGGCAAGCGUUGUCCGGAUUUAUUGGGCGUAAAGAGCGUGUAGGCGGCCAUACAGGUCAGCUGUGAAAACUCGAGGCUCAACCUCGAGACGUCGGUUGAAACCGUAUGGCUAGAGUCCGGAAGAGGAGAGUGGAAUUCCCGGUGUAGCGGUGAAAUGCGCAGAUAUCGGGAAGAACACCCGUGGCGAAGGCGGCUCUCUGGGACGGUACUGACGCUGAGACGCGGAAAGCGUGGGGAGCGAACAGG